CUCUGCAGCUGGGGACAGCGUUGGGGGCCCGCUUGAAUCAGACACAGUUGGUGGAGGGAGGAAUAUCAGGAAUACACCCUUCCACCACAUUUGUGUCUCCCUGGGAGGGCUUUGUAGAAAGAAUCUAAACAUUCUUUCGCCUUCCUGUCUUCGGACUGGACUGCACGAAUGGCAUGCUGAAGCUAUAUCCAAGAGAAAAAGAAGAGCUGAGACGUGUAUCCAUAGCACCUUCGUGCGUUUUCAUCUUGCUGAGUUUUCUCCUCUUCCCCUGCUACUUCCAGCACAUCUUGAUGUGGAAUCUCUGGCCCUUCACAUGAUUCCCCAGGGCAUUAAUCCAUUCAGCCCCUUCUGGGUCGUGCGUGAUAAAUCACAAUUUUCAACCUCAAGCCGUCCUAAAUCUUGCUUGUGCUCCAUUAAUGAAAUCAUCUCUUUUAUCUCAUCACUGCAGAUGUCAUGAUUUAUCUAUUCCUCCGUUGACGUGGCCUGCCAAAAAGUAUGGGAUAUUUCUGGGUGCUACACCUGUGCUAAGCACAGGAGGGACAGCAAGCGACAUGGACAAGCCCCGACUCCAAUAGAAUUUCGGAAAAGCCAGACACGAAGCAACUCAUGGCAAUAAAGGCAGAGAAUGAGAUCA
RNAcentral lists this long non-coding RNA (634 nucleotides) under Sus scrofa (pig). RNAcentral's name for it is "lncRNA (ENSSSCG00030069208.1)". The record is from RNAcentral. Lineage: Eukaryota; Metazoa; Chordata; Mammalia; Artiodactyla; Suidae.